Molecule: transfer RNA, 87 nt
Filed under: Lobelia cardinalis
Lineage: Eukaryota; Viridiplantae; Streptophyta; Magnoliopsida; Asterales; Campanulaceae
Also listed under: 3 other names
Description: tRNA-Tyr
Rfam family: tRNA
About the family: Transfer RNA (tRNA) molecules are approximately 80 nucleotides in length. Their secondary structure includes four short double-helical elements and three loops (D, anti-codon, and T loops).
Source: RNAcentral
GGGUCGAUGCCCGAGCGGUUAAUGGGGACGGACUGUAAAUUCGUUGGCAACAAUAUGUCUACGCUGGUUCAAAUCCAGCUCGACCCA